UGCCAGCCGCCGCGGUAAUACCAAGGCGGCUAGCGUUGUUCGGAAUCACUGGGCGCAAAGCGUAUGUAGGCGGAUCAAAAUGUUAGAUGUGAAAUCCCUGGGCUCAACCCAGGAACCGCAUUUAAAACUAGUGAUCUAGAAUUUGGUAGGGGUUAGUAGAAUUUCCAGUGUAGAGGUGAAAUUCGUAGAUAUUGGAAAGAAUACCAGUGGCGAAGGCGACUAACUGGGCCAUUUUUGACGCUGAGAUACGAAAGCGUGGGUAGCAAACAGGAUUAGAUA
This 279-nucleotide ribosomal RNA is filed under the name uncultured bacterium. Its description in RNAcentral is "partial 16S ribosomal RNA". It matches the Rfam family "Bacterial small subunit ribosomal RNA", at positions 506 to 784 of the family's 1533-position model. The record is from RNAcentral.